AGAAUACCCGCAAAAUAACAGAAGUUGGUUGGCAGUGGUGUGAAAGAGAAAAGUGGAAAGAGUGUCAAAUUUCACAUUCGACGCUCACCUCUUCCACCCUGUUGUGUUAAAAACAACAAGUGACAUUGAUGUCAUUGAAUUCCCAGACUGCACAUUGUCGUGUCUCUGUGUAAAUUGGCUGGUUUGUGUGUCAAAGGCACCAGCAGCAACAUUUUUGUCAUUGUCGCUCUCGUCGCACACUUUUGCUGAAACUCUCCUUGAAAUCCGCCUGCUUCAUUGUAUUUAGCCCUUUCAUGCACCAAUAAUGACAACUUGUAACCUGAUAACAUGAUAUACUGUCUGCUGUAGUGACCGCAGUCCCUGAAGAAUGUAUAUAUGUCACUUAAAAAAAUGUGCGUGCAGUUAUACAGGUUUUAAUGACACGUCACACUCUGACAUGAGGGAUUCGCUCAACUUAAGUUCAGGUUGAAUUUAACUGUUCUCCUGGCAUUCGCUAAAUGACUGAAAUUUGCCUGGGCAACUGUCGAAGUCUGAAUAUUCAGUCUUCAGAUGCAGCGGUCAGCACGAGAUUUGAAACUCAGGAGUCGAUUGUUUUUUUUUUUUUUUGUAUACGGCAUCAAUCCAGCGGGCGUGCGGCUCGGCUGCGCUGUUUGCCGAGCGCAGGGAGGUGGACCUGAAAGAGGGAGGUGUAUGCGCCGCUGCGGGAGUGGGCACUUACGAAUACAUUAGUUUGGUCUCUGGAGAUAUAGAAAUCCAGCUUUCUCGACCACUUUCCUUUGUGUUCCAUCAUAUUUCAUCAUCGUGGAUUAUUUUUCCAUUCAAUUUUUUUUUUCCCCAAAUGAUGACAGAAUAGAAGAAGAAGCGCAUGCACUCAGCCUCUUGUUUAUCGGUCAGAUCUUGUUCAUUUUACAACAUUAAAGAACAUGAGCCUUUUUCUAGAUCUUAUGAUUACAUGUAUGUUUUUAAAUGCAGGAUCAGUUUUUUGUUUUUUUUUUGUGAUACCUCACCGUCUUGGAGGCCUUGAUGACAAAAGUGGGGGUAGUGUGUGUGUGUGUGUGUGUGCGCGCAUGUGUGUAAGCAGUGUAUCAUCACUCCGGGUCGUGACUCACAGCACACACUUAUUUUCGCCUCUCUCUCUCUCUCUCUCUCUCUAUCUCUCUCUCUAUCUCUCUUUCUAUCUCUCUUUCCAUAGCACUCUCUAUUUUUUUUUAUAUACGCCUGAGCGGGAGGCCUACACCCACACACACACACACACACACACACACACACACACACACACACACACACACACACACACACACACAGGAGACAUCUUUGUCACACAGGUAAAAUUUUUAUUGUCCACACAGUGUUCAGUUGCCCCGACUUUUUCUUCCCCCAUCAGUACCUUGUAUAAAAACCACUUUGAGGACCGUCUUACAUUUGUGAUUGGUCCAGAGGAGGUUUUGCCAUAAAUAUGAUGUAUUUUGCCAUCAUUUUAAAACCUAAAAUGAGAUAUAGUGACCUAAAAUGAUGUCAGUUUUGUAGUAACGACAAUUUCUGUGUAAAAGAUAUCGCAAGGAAAGGCUCUGUGAGGAUGAAAUCGUGUCCAUAUAAAACCGACAUUAUUUUAAAUAAUGAAAUAUAUUCGUGGAUCAAUUCCAGCUCCGGCCUCCCUGUGUGGAGUUUGCAUGUUCUCCCUGUGUGGGUUUUCUCCGGGUACUCCGCAAAAUUUGCCACAGUUUAACUUUGAAAGACCAAAAAUGGGCAAAAUUAGCCUCAAAAUGACCUCUUCAAAAACGUCUUCAAAUCACAGUGGCAGACUUCAGUGGCUAAACCAAACUGGCUUCAGCGGUUGGAUUUAAAAAAAACAAAA
This is a long non-coding RNA of Hippocampus zosterae (dwarf seahorse), 1855 nucleotides long. RefSeq lists it as uncharacterized. Lineage: Eukaryota; Metazoa; Chordata; Actinopteri; Syngnathiformes; Syngnathidae. The transcript has 2 exons. The record is from RefSeq and is a predicted model, not a curated record.